Molecule: ribosomal RNA, 234 nt
Filed under: uncultured bacterium
Lineage: Bacteria
Description: partial 16S ribosomal RNA
Rfam family: Bacterial small subunit ribosomal RNA
Source: RNAcentral
UGAGGAACAUGACCUUCGGCGGGGGAUAGCCGGCCCAACGGCCGGGUAAUACCGCGUACGACCUUCCGGGGACAUCCCUGGAUGGUGAAAGCAGCAAUGCGCCGAUGGAGUGCCUCGCGGCCUAUCAGCUAGUUGGUGAGGUAACGGCUCACCAAGGCGACGACGGGUAGCCGGUCUGAGAGGAUGGCCAGCCACAUUGGGACUGAGACACGGCCCAGACCUCCCGUACGGGGA